This is a long non-coding RNA of Pogoniulus pusillus (Red-fronted tinkerbird), 968 nucleotides long. RefSeq lists it as uncharacterized. Lineage: Eukaryota; Metazoa; Chordata; Aves; Piciformes; Lybiidae. The transcript is spliced from 2 exons. The record is from RefSeq and is a predicted model, not a curated record.
GUUUAAAAUAAAUACUGAAGCAGAUUAACUUCUAAAUUAACUUCCACAUUCUCUGAAAGCCCUUUAACAGACAGAUGUAUUCAGCAGCCUAGGUAUUGUUCAUUGAAAAAAAUUAAGAAAGCUCUCCAUGCAUUGGGGUUUCACCAGCAGCAGAGUAGAUCUGAAUGUUUUGCUCAACAAGCAAGAAGAAAUUCCUAUGAUCACUUCAGAUAAAAUAGGUUUGUGGAAAAAGAAAAGGAAAAUGAGAAGAAAUUUAAAAGUCAGUUGAAGAACUACUGCCCUAGCAGUUCAAAACACAAAAGAAAGGACCAGACCACAAAGCUCCAAGAUGGUAGUGCAAAGCUGUUUCUUUAGUAGAGAAUAAAAUAUAAAGUAGGGGAAGAAAAGAUCCAUCUGCUGCAUUAAUUAGGUGUCCAGCUACUGACCUGGAGAACCACACUGAGGGAGCAGUGUCACAACGUUUUGUACAUACCGAGAUGCCGGACAUUCCACAUGGGAUCUAUACUGGAAUGUUGCUUGUAAAAUACAAUCAGCAGUGGAGGAGUUGUGAUGCUGCCAGCCAGAGUCCUACUGUAAAGCUCCUCUCUGGAAGUUAAGAUGAAAAGAAAUUGGGAAAGGAUGCCUGUAUGGCCCUAAAUCAGAUGAUUAUCCACAGACACAUAGCCUUUCACUUAACAGUUAAAUGCCACCACCAUAAUGUAAUCCCUGCCCCACUGGCACUCUCAGUUUAGGGGUACUUACGCUACAUUAAGUGCCAUCCACUUCUCCAACUGCUGAGUGAUGUUCUGUAAUUUCCACUCUGUCAAAUUAGCAACAAAAACUCCUGGAUUGAAAGAGCAGGUGUUGGCUUUCAUGGCAAGCUUUCGGAUGGUUUCUUUUUUGUAAUCUAGAAACCCAAUGUAAUUAUACUGUGGAAAAAAAGGGGAAGGGAGAAAGUACGAAUUAGUUUAAAAUAAAGUUUGCACAAU